This 384-nucleotide ribosomal RNA is filed under the name SAR324 cluster bacterium. RNAcentral describes it as "bacterial SSU rRNA". It matches the Rfam family "Bacterial small subunit ribosomal RNA", at positions 1 to 384 of the family's 1533-position model. The record is from RNAcentral. Lineage: Bacteria; Deltaproteobacteria.
AAACUGAAGAGUUUGAUCCUGGCUCAGAACGAACGCUGGCGGCGUGCUUAACACAUGCAAGUCGAACGCGAAAGCAUCCUUCGGGGUGCGAGUAGAGUGGCGCACGGGUGAGUAACACGUAGACAACCUGCCUUCCAGUUCGGGAUAACCUCUUGAAAGAGGGGCUAAUACCGGAUAACACGCUUCAUCGCAUGGUGAGGCGUUGAAAGGCUUGCUGCUGGAAGAGGGGUCUGCGGGACAUUAGCUUGUUGGUGGGGUAACGGCCCACCAAGGCUGCGAUGUCUAGCGGGUCUGAGAGGAUGAUCCGCCACACUGGAACUGAGACACGGUCCAGACUCCUACGGGAGGCAGCAGUGGGGAAUUUUGCGCAAUGGGCGAAAGCCU